UCUCGUCUGUCUUCUGACGCCAAUAGA
RNAcentral lists this non-coding RNA (27 nucleotides) under Bombyx mori (domestic silkworm). Lineage: Eukaryota; Metazoa; Arthropoda; Insecta; Lepidoptera; Bombycidae. The record is from RNAcentral.